GGGAGUAAAUCUCUUUAGGUAGUUUUCUGGCUGGGGCUAGAGCCUACUUACAAACUACCCUGAAAAUGCCUUGCAGGAAGGAUCAUCUGGAGACUCCCAAAUGUUAGAGCUGCCUUGGGGAAGAUCCUAAAAGAGAUGAAAGGUCUUUUGUGUGUGGGGGAUGCUGAGCUCCUGCUGAAAUUCUUUCACCACCGGAAGCAGAGAAGUCUAUUCUAUACGGAGUCCAACCUCUGGAGAGCAGACAUUUACUGAUUGCUCUGUCCGUUAUCCACAGUGACAGAUGGAAAUGAAAAAAGACUGAAGGUGGGAAAAGAGAAGAAAGGAGGAAGUGAAGGAGAAGACAGGUAGUCCGGGGGUGUUCCAUGAAUAGAGAUCAUCCCAUAUAUUUUCAGCAAACUACUGUAUGUUGUUUGACUCCACUAAGUCUUUUGUAUGCCACUAUUUUGGGCAAUCCCAAGGUCUCUGAAUCUUUCAGACUACCAAAGACAGUGACUUUUACAUGCUUUCCUCGUGGCUUACAAAACUAGCACGGCAGAGAUGGUGGAGGACCUCCCGUUUGCGUGCGUAGAGGACUGGACUUAACAGAUUUCGCAACUAGAUGUGCUGCCUUUACUGGUUUUCUCACAAUGUGUGGACUGCGUAUCCAAAUCAAGGGAGAUUGAAUUUAUGACGUCUCCGUUCUAUUACUGAGAGAAACCCAGAAGAGAAUUGAAAAUGUAUCACUUUUAAACAGCAGAACCUUUAGAGAAAAAAAGCCAUACAGAACUGGGCCAAGGAAUAGAAACAUCCCUCUGUAGCUACUGAUUUCUACAGUAUGCAAGGCAAUUAGGCAAUGACUUUUUCUGGCAAAGGCGAACAGGGCAAGAAGAAGAGAGUUAAUGAAUGCAAGUCAUUCAGCUGACCAAUGAAGACCAGCUGGAUAAGAGAGUCUGAAGAUAACUGAGUCACCAUUCGUAUUCCUUGCUCAUCCUGCAAAAGAGGCAUCGUGUAGCAUCAAAGGACAGGGACCUUAUAGACUGCAUUCCUACCUCCCUCAAGGAAGGGGAGACUUGUGCAUGAACUCAUCUCCUCAGCUUGGAUUCUGGGCUAAAGGGGAUAAAAAUCCCUGACAAGGAGAAACUGGGACCUUUGUCCUGUCAGGACUCUGAGGGGCAAAGGUGCCUAAACAUAAGCAAGAGAUUCCCAUGCUGCUUG
Molecule: long non-coding RNA, 1194 nt
Organism: Mauremys reevesii (Reeves's turtle)
Lineage: Eukaryota; Metazoa; Chordata; Testudines; Geoemydidae
Exons: 5
Source: RefSeq, a predicted model, not a curated record